Molecule: long non-coding RNA, 684 nt
Organism: Haemorhous mexicanus (house finch)
Lineage: Eukaryota; Metazoa; Chordata; Aves; Passeriformes; Fringillidae
Exons: 2
Source: RefSeq, a predicted model, not a curated record
GAGGCAUGAACAAUAGAGAAUAGUAUAAAAAUGGCUUGCUUUUUGUAAUAAAUUGGUUUCACUUGAUCAUACUGAUCAUGGCGCGAUGUCCCCUUACUGAUCCUCCGCACAUUUUGGUGCCCGAACGAGGGACCCGGAGACGGCUAUUUCACGGUGGUAAGAGGUACAGUGACAGCCUUCGGGAGGUGGAGAAGCCGGUCGAAAGUAUCCUCACUGCCCCGGCAAGAAGAAAAGGUGAAUAAAGGAGCUCCAAAUUGAAGAAGAAGUGAUCUCGCCCUGAUCAGAUAAAGGAAUUCGCUGGUUCCGGCCAAGUAGGUGAAACCUCACCUAAAGUCACACCUGCCAGCUCUGUCCAGAAGCAGAACGUCGGCGACAGCACCAACUCCAGACGCAGCUGAACCUGAUGCUCCAGCACCUGAGGGUUGAACAAUGGCUGAACAUUUUUUCCACAGCUAUUAACAGAUGUGGGCCAACUAGCUGGAUCUGGGGUUACAGUAACCAGUAACGACAGCCUACCACCAUUUCCAAUAUGGGUCUUAAAUCAAAUUGAAUGAGCUUCUUCUGUUCAUGGCUAUUUUUGCAAACCAUGGAUCAGGGUCCAGUGUGUUAAGCGCAAACUGAAGUGAAGGCGAUAAGUCCGUCAGGAAAAAAAAUCUUUUUAUACCUCACAGGAAAAAGCAAAAA